RNAcentral lists this ribosomal RNA (404 nucleotides) under Verrucomicrobiota bacterium. RNAcentral's name for it is "Verrucomicrobia bacterium partial 16S ribosomal RNA". It matches the Rfam family "Bacterial small subunit ribosomal RNA", at positions 355 to 776 of the family's 1533-position model. Lineage: Bacteria; Pseudomonadati; Verrucomicrobiota. The record is from RNAcentral.
UGGGGAAUAUUGCACAAUGGGGGAAACCCUGAUGCAGCGACGCCGCGUGAGCGAUGAAGGCUUUCGAGUCGUAAAGCUCUGUCCUAUGGGAAGAUAAUGACGGUACCAUAGAAGAAAGCCCCGGCUAAUUACGUGCCAGCAGCCGCGGUAAUACGUAAGGGGCGAGCGUUGUCCGGAAUUAUUGGGCGUAAAGAGUGCGUAGGCGGCAAAUUAAGUCAGAUGUGAAAACUAAGGGCUCAACCCAUAGAUUGCAUCUGAAACUGAUAUGCUUGAGUCAAGGAGAGGAAAGUGGAAUUCCUAGUGUAGCGGUGGAAUGCGUAGAUAUUAGGAGGAAUACCAGUGGCGAAGGCGACUUUCUGGACUUGAACUGACGCUGAGGCACGAAAGCGUGGGGAGCAAACAGG